UCGGCCAAAUCACGUUGAAACACCGCUUCCUGUACGAUCACCGAAGUUAAGCAACGUCGAGCUUGAUCUGUAUGGACAUGUGUAACCGCUUGAGAAUACCAGGUGCUGUAU
This is a non-coding RNA of Acanthosepion pharaonis, 111 nucleotides long. The record is from the annotation of a GenBank genome assembly. NCBI's taxonomy places the organism in Eukaryota, Metazoa, Mollusca, Cephalopoda, Sepiida, Sepiidae.